AUUGAACGCUGGCGGCAUGCUUUACACAUGCAAGUCGAACGGUAACAGGCCUUCGGGUGCUGACGAGUGGCGAACGGGUGAGUAAUGCAUCGGAACGUACCCAGAGGUGGGGGAUAACGCAGCGAAAGCUGUGCUAAUACCGCAUGUGAUCUGAGGAUGAAAGCGGGGGACCGAGCAGCAAUGUUUGGCCUCGCGCCUUUGGAGCGGCCGAUGUCGGAGUAGCUAGUUGGUGGGUUAAAGGCCUACCAAGGCGACGAUCCGUAGCUGGUCUGAGAGGACGACCAGCCACACGGGGACUGAGACACGGCCCAGACUCCUACGGGAGGCAGCAGUGGGGAAUUUUGGACAAUGGGCGCAAGCCUGAUCCAGCAAUGCCGCGUGCGGGAAGAAGGCCUUCGGGUUGUAAACCGCUUUUGGCAGGAACGAAACGGUGUCCGCUAAUACCGGGCGCUAAUGACGGUACCUGCAGAAUAAGCACCGGCUAACUACGUG
This 492-nucleotide ribosomal RNA is filed under the name uncultured bacterium. RNAcentral's name for it is "partial 16S ribosomal RNA". It matches the Rfam family "Bacterial small subunit ribosomal RNA", at positions 29 to 507 of the family's 1533-position model. The record is from RNAcentral.